UUCAGACAACACGCAGAAAGUCCACUUCUGCAGCUCAAGUUCCAAGGAGAACAACAGCGCUCGCUGCUGCAAAGAUGAGAGAAUGGGCACAUGCAUGUGGGUAUGCUGUGAAGACUCAAAAAGGUUGCAUGGACCCCACAGGAUUCCAGAUCUGACAUCAACCUUGAUGAGGGGCCAGUGACAGUGCACAUGCUACACCUACGCAGCUCCUGCUGCGUUCAAGACACCUGGGAGCUGAGAAGUUUCUGACUUAAAUGUUGAAAAGAAUCUGAAUAGCCUCCAAAAGUGUACCGGUCAUUUCCUUUUCAGGAAAUCUGGAGUUUCAGUUUCUCUUUGUGUCUAACAAUGUGACAUUCAAUACCUGCUUAUAAACCCAGCGUCUUACAGUUGAGAUACACCUGUAAAAUUUUUUUUAAUCCAGUGCAUCUGCCUUGCAAAGACAACAUCUUUGAAUAAUAAAUCAUUGUGACAU
Molecule: long non-coding RNA, 472 nt
Organism: Toxotes jaculatrix (banded archerfish)
Lineage: Eukaryota; Metazoa; Chordata; Actinopteri; Toxotidae
Exons: 3
Source: RefSeq, a predicted model, not a curated record